This 386-nucleotide ribosomal RNA is filed under the name uncultured eukaryote. RNAcentral describes it as "bacterial SSU rRNA". It matches the Rfam family "Eukaryotic small subunit ribosomal RNA", at positions 592 to 1018 of the family's 1831-position model. The record is from RNAcentral.
CAAUAGCAUAUAUUAAAGUUGUUGCGGUUAAAAAGCUCGUAGUCGAAUUUAUGUGUGAGUUUCACUCUUCCUUCGGGAAUUGUGGAUAUGAGCACUUUUGCCUAUACUUAAUUGUAUUUGGCAUAUUACUUUGAAGAAAUUAGAGUGUUUCAAGCAGGUUUCUGCCUUGAAUACAUUAGCAUGGAAUAAUAUGUUAGGACUUAAGUUCUCAUAUGGUCUAUGAACUUGAGUAAUGAUGAAUAGGAACAGUCGGGGGCGUUCAUACUCAACAGUCAGAGGUGAAAUUCUUGGAUUUGUUGAUGAUGAACUACUGCGAAAGCAUUCGCCAAGGAUGUUUUCAUUGAUCAAGAACGAAAGUUAGGGGAUCGAAGAUGAUCAGAUACCAU